RNAcentral lists this ribosomal RNA (433 nucleotides) under uncultured bacterium. RNAcentral describes it as "partial 16S ribosomal RNA". It matches the Rfam family "Bacterial small subunit ribosomal RNA", at positions 29 to 507 of the family's 1533-position model. The record is from RNAcentral.
AACGAACGCUGGCGGCAUGCCUAACACAUGCAAGUCGAACGAGACCUUCGGGUCUAGUGGCGCACGGGUGCGUAACGCGUUGGAACCUGCCCUUAGGUUCGGAAUAACUCCCCGAAUGGGGUGCUAAUACCGGAUAAUGUCUUCGGUCCAAAGAUUUAUCGCCUUUGGAUGGGCCCGCGUUGGAUUAGCUUGUUGGUAGGGUAAAUGCCUACCAAGGCUACGAUCCAUAGCUGGUUUGAGAGGAUGAUCAGCCACACUGGGACUGAGACACGGCCGAGAAUACUAGGGGAGGCGGGAGUGGGGAAUAUAGGAAAAUGGGCGAAAGCCUGAUCCAGCAAUGCCGCGUGAGUGAUGAAGGCCUUAGGGUUGUAAAGCUAGUUUACACGGGAUGAUAAUGACAGUACCGGGAGAAUAAGCUCCGGCUAACUCCGUG